AAAUGAAUAGACGGGGACCCGCACAAGCGGUGGAGCAUGUUCUUUAAUUCGAUGAUAAACGAUGAACCUUACCAGGGCUUGACAUCCAAGGAAGCACUACGAAAGUAGAGUGUGCCUUUUAGGAGCCUUGUGACAGGUGAUGCAUGGCCGUCGUCAGCUCGUGUCGUGAGAUGUUUGGUUAAGUCCAUCAACGAGCGCAACCCUUGCAACUAGUUGUAUUUUUCUAGUUGGACUGCCUCGGUAACGAGGAGGAAGGAGGGGAUGAUGUCAGGUCAUUAUUUCCCUUACGCCCUGGGCUAGAAACGUGCUACAAUGGCCGGUACAAUGUGCAGCUAAAUCGCGAGAUCAAGCAAAUCACAUCAAAACCGGUCCCAGUUCAGAUUAGAGGCUGAAACUCGCCUCUAUGAAGUCGGAAUCGCUAGUAAUCGCAGAUCAGCAAGUUGCGGUGAAUACGUUCCCGGGUCUUGUACACACCGCCCGU
RNAcentral lists this ribosomal RNA (481 nucleotides) under uncultured bacterium. RNAcentral's name for it is "bacterial SSU rRNA". It matches the Rfam family "Bacterial small subunit ribosomal RNA", at positions 903 to 1397 of the family's 1533-position model. The record is from RNAcentral.